Cavia porcellus (domestic guinea pig) is the source of this 137-nucleotide small nucleolar RNA. Lineage: Eukaryota; Metazoa; Chordata; Mammalia; Rodentia; Caviidae. The record is from Ensembl.
UUGGCCCUGAAUCAAGACCAGCAGAUUGCUAUAGCUGCUGGUUUCAAACAGGAGCCUAAAGAGAAUUCUUUCUGUGGUCUGUUGGCUAUUUCAGAACUUUGGAAAUGUAAUGGUCAAUUCAUCAGAAAGAAACAGCU